UACGUAGGGUGCGAGCGUUAAUCGGAAUUACUGGGCGUAAAGCGCACGUAGGCGGAUAUUUAAGUCAGGGGUGAAAUCCCAGAGCUCAACUCUGGAACUGCCUUUGAUACUGGGUAUCUUGAGUAUGGAAGAGGUAAGUGGAAUUCCGAGUGUAGAGGUGAAAUUCGUAGAUAUUCGGAGGAACACCAGUGGCGAAGGCGGCUUACUGGUCCAUUACUGACGCUGAGGUGGCGAAA
RNAcentral lists this ribosomal RNA (236 nucleotides) under uncultured bacterium. Its description in RNAcentral is "partial 16S ribosomal RNA". It matches the Rfam family "Bacterial small subunit ribosomal RNA", at positions 524 to 758 of the family's 1533-position model. The record is from RNAcentral.